Non-coding RNA from Salmo salar (Atlantic salmon), 1005 nucleotides. The record is from RefSeq and is a predicted model, not a curated record. NCBI's taxonomy places the organism in Eukaryota, Metazoa, Chordata, Actinopteri, Salmoniformes, Salmonidae.
UGAAUCAGAUUACAUGGAGAGGGGGGACCUGAUCCUAGAUCAUAAUGAAUCAGAUUACAUGGAGAGGGGGGACCUGAUCCUAGAUCAUAAUGAAUCAGAUUACAUAGACAGGGGGAGCUGAUCCUGGUUCAGCACUCCUCCUUUGAGACACUGCCUUUAUGAAUAAGGAAUGCUGUUGUAAAGUCUAGUUACAGCAGGUGUUUACUGCCAUCUAGUGGAAGAUACCAAUAAAACACUUUAUUAUCAGGGUGGGGAGACGGCUGAGUGCAGGAUCCAUGGUGAGAUGACAAAAGAGGAAAACACACUAUAUGGAGAGAAGUACAAAUAAAGUAUUUCUGAACAAUAAAGGACAGAGUAAGAUAAUGAAUACCUGGAAUUACAUAUUAUUACUAGUUAGUAGAUCUCUUCUGUCAUCAUUAUUUACCCAUACACCGGUGACGUCAGAAGGGACGUGAUUUCCUCAUAUGAAAGUGAAAGUAACUGUGGUUACAAAAUGUAGCGCACAUUUCUCAGCAACAUUAGAAGCAGGAUAAAUGUGUUGAUUUGAAGGACAGACUGACAGACUCUGGAUCCAUUUUGAGACGACAGAGCAGAAAACACUAUAUGGACAAUACUGACAAAUAAAGUACGAUCAUGGAUAUUGCCUCUGAGUAUUGAAACAGAAAGACCACCAGAUAUACCCUGGCAGUAUGUGAUGAGUGAUGAGGAGAAAUUGAAAUGUUUUUUUGUCCAUUGUGUAUUUCCGUUUGUGGAAUAUUUAGAUAAAUCCUGGAAUAUAAGAAAAAUGUUUAUCUAUAAUUAAAUUGUAAAAAUAUUUAGCUUCUGCGUGGUAAAUGGUACAUGUGUAUAUAGAUUGUGUAUAGACUUGUCUCCCAUAUGACUCUUCUAUGUGGUAAAUGGUACAUGUGUAUAUAGAUUGUGUAUAGACUUGUCUCCCAUAUGAAUCUUCUAUGUGGUAAAUGGUAUGUGUAUAUAUAGAUUGUGUAUAGACUUGUCUCCCAUAUG